GGGGGCGUGGCUCAGGGGUAGAGCACUCACCUAGCCUGUGGGAGGCCCUGGGUUCAAUCCCCAGUACUACCC
Molecule: transfer RNA, 72 nt
Filed under: Marmota monax (woodchuck)
Lineage: Eukaryota; Metazoa; Chordata; Mammalia; Rodentia; Sciuridae
Rfam family: tRNA
About the family: Transfer RNA (tRNA) molecules are approximately 80 nucleotides in length.
Source: Rfam by way of RNAcentral